Molecule: long non-coding RNA, 630 nt
Filed under: Monodelphis domestica (gray short-tailed opossum)
Lineage: Eukaryota; Metazoa; Chordata; Mammalia; Didelphimorphia; Didelphidae
Description: lncRNA (ENSMODG00000036615.1)
Source: RNAcentral
CCACCAUGGAAGGAAGUGGUCCCUGUAUAUGAUGGCACACUGGCCAAAACCCGAGUGGCCCCAAUCUAGCUACAACUCGGAUACCAAAUGAUGAUUUUCCUGCUUCAAUAGAAGCAAACUGUCAGCUGAUGCUUCUGCCAGAUCUACUGUUGUAAAAUCUGUCAAAGCCUUCCAACAAGAUGAAACCUGCUUUCUCUCUCCUGCUCAUUCUCAUCCCACGUCUUAGGCUGAGAUCCCCUGGCAAUGCUGACUGCACCUCAGUACUUAGCUGUGGAUGGAAAAAUAUCAGCAGCCCUUUUUGCACCAGCUCUCUGUGAGUCUCAGAUCUUGUCACUGCACAACAGCAGGCCCCCUUGGAAACAGAAAGAUUCUGGAAGAUGAGUUGGGAGUUUGAGAAGGGAAAAUCAAAUCCUGUCCAAUCCCCUAAGGAAGAACAGCAGCUGGCUAUGUAGCAAAGAGAGGGAAAGAAGUUAGCCUAGGAAGCUGUAUAAUCAUCAUUGACCUAGAUUAAGAUUAAUUUAGGUUGGGAUUUGAAUCUUAUGCUCUGCAAUUUAUCAGUUCUGUACUCUGAAAUUAUUUGAUUGUGCCUUCUUUCUCUUGGUUUCUAAUAAAAUUGUCUUGAGAAAAUAU